UAGCUACAGGCUUAACACAUGCAAGUCGAGGGGCAGCAUGGUCUUAGCUUGCUAAGGCCGAUGGCGACCGGCGCACGGGUGAGUAGCACGUAUCCAACCUGCCGUCUACUCUUGGACAGCCUUCUGAAAGGAAGAUUAAUACAAGAUGGCAUCAUGAGUCCGCAUGUUCACAUGAUUAAAGGUAUUCCGGUAGACGAUGGGGAUGCGUUCCAUUAGAUAGUAGGCGGGGUAACGGCCCACCUAGUCUUCGAUGGAUAGGGGUUCUGAGAGGAAGGUCCCCCACAUUGGAACUGAGACACGGUCCAAACUCCUACGGGAGGCAGCAGUGAGGAAUAUUGGUCAAUGGCCGAGAGCCUGAACCAGCCAAGUAGCGUGAAGGAUGACUGCCCUAUGGGUUGUAAACUUCUUUUAUAAAGGAAUAAAGUCGGGUAUGGAUACCCGUUUGCAUGUACUUUAUGAAUAAGGAUCGGCUAACUCCGUGCCAGCAGCCGCGGUAAUACGGAGGAUCCGAGCGUUAUCCGGAUUUAUUGGGUUUAAAGGGAGCGUAGAUGGAUGUUUAAGUCAGUUGUGAAAGUUUGCGGCUCAACCGUAAAAUUGCAGUUGAUACUGGAUAUCUUGAGUGCAGUUGAGGCAGGCGGAAUUCGUGGUGUAGCGGUGAAAUGCUUAGAUAUCACGAAGAACUCCGAUUGCGAAGGCAGCCUGCUAAGCUGCAACUGACAUUGAGGCUCGAAAGUGUGGGUAUCAAACAGGAUUAGAUACCCUGGUAGUCCACACGGUAAACGAUGAAUACUCGCUGUUUGCGAUAUACUGCAAGCGGCCAAGCGAAAGCGUUAAGUAUUCCACCUGGGGAGUACGCCGGCAACGGUGAAACUCAAAGGAAUUGACGGGGGCCCGCACAAGCGGAGGAACAUGUGGUUUAAUUCGAUGAUACGCGAGGAACCUUACCCGGGCUUAAAUUGCAGAUGAAUUACGGUGAAAGCCGUAAGCCGCAAGGCAUCUGUGAAGGUGCUGCAUGGUUGUCGUCAGCUCGUGCCGUGAGGUGUCGGCUUAAGUGCCAUAACGAGCGCAACCCUUGUUGUCAGUUACUAACAGGUUCCGCUGAGGACUCUGACAAGACUGCCAUCGUAAGAUGUGAGGAAGGUGGGGAUGACGUCAAAUCAGCACGGCCCUUACGUCCGGGGCUACACACGUGUUACAAUGGGGGGUACAGAGGGCCGCUGCCACGCGAGUGGAUGCCAAUCCCCAAAACCUCUCUCAGUUCGGACUGGAGUCUGCAACCCGACUCCACGAAGCUGGAUUCGCUAGUAAUCGCGCGUCAGCCACGGCGCGGUGAAUACGUUCCCGGGCCUUGUACACACCGCCCGUCAAGCCAUGGGAGCCGGGGGUACCUGAAGUGCGUAACCGCGAGGAGCGCCCUAGGGUAAAACUGGUGACUGGGGCU
RNAcentral lists this ribosomal RNA (1441 nucleotides) under uncultured organism. Its description in RNAcentral is "SSU rRNA". It matches the Rfam family "Bacterial small subunit ribosomal RNA". The record is from RNAcentral.